Molecule: long non-coding RNA, 537 nt
Organism: Penaeus chinensis
Lineage: Eukaryota; Metazoa; Arthropoda; Malacostraca; Decapoda; Penaeidae
Exons: 3
Source: RefSeq, a predicted model, not a curated record
GUACAGCUGACACAUCCUCCAGCAGCUGGACUGCCCGUGCAACUUCACAAGGCUGGAGCCCAGAUGAGCAGACCACAAAUGACACCACGCGAAAUUGUCUCAGUGGCUGAGACUCGCCUCAAACGACUCCCUCAAGAUGUGUGGAGCCAUGGAAGGAGCUGGCAGCCGAUUCUUCCCUCCACUCCAUCAUACCAUCAACACCGACAGAUAUCAUGCCAGAGGUUAACUUGACCCUAAGAGGCCAUCACCGGAAGAAAGCAUAUCCACGUUACACGAACACGCAUUUCCCGCAGUAAGAGGAGAAAAUAGUAAUGGAGAUCAAGAGAGUCCGAAUCCACGCUCCAUCUUGUGAUGACAUUAUCCAUGGUGCCACGGUUCCUACAAGGUUUAGCCGGCAAGAGAACCUUUCAAGUUCUCACCCUAAAAAGACGCCAUUUCAGCACUUCGGGACGAUGCACCAGUCUCCUUUAGUUCAUUGCAAUAAGGGACUGGAAUGCUUCCUUGACUACCCACCAUAUCAUUACAGGUCCUCAGAUC